AUUUUGAAUCAAUCGCUAUAUUUGCAAAAUAAUAUAGAGGAAACUCCACGCUUGCACAUCCUGUGAUGGAUGUAGUGUUUGUGCUAAAGGAAAAAAUAACUUUAGGCACCAAUUGGUGACGACUAGAGGUAAACCUAAGUGAAUUUAUUCAUAUGGUUGAAACUGUAAAGUGCCACAGGGACGAUUAGCUAGAAAUAGUGAAAUGGAACGGGUAAACUCCACAAGCAAGAAACUCAAAUUUUGGUAGAGGAGCUAGAGAAUAGAGAAUCGAAUCUAUUCUUUGGAUCACUCUUUAUGGGUGAUAGAUAGAUGAUUGAUGCGCGUAAGCGUUACAAAACGUGGGUUAUGAUA
Molecule: RNase P RNA, 351 nt
Filed under: Spiroplasma culicicola AES-1
Lineage: Bacteria; Bacillati; Mycoplasmatota; Mollicutes; Entomoplasmatales; Spiroplasmataceae
Description: Bacterial RNase P class B
Rfam family: Bacterial RNase P class B
About the family: Ribonuclease P (RNase P) is a ubiquitous endoribonuclease, found in archaea, bacteria and eukarya as well as chloroplasts and mitochondria. Its best characterised activity is the generation of mature 5'-ends of tRNAs by cleaving the 5'-leader elements of precursor-tRNAs. Cellular RNase Ps are ribonucleoproteins.
Source: Rfam by way of RNAcentral